GGGAAAACAUUUACAGGAGUGUGAAUAGUUUUGUAUUUUCUUAGCUAAAAACAACUAGGAACAGUUACAAAUCAGGUUUAAACAAUGUUUUAACCUCAGAAAAUGGUUUCAGAUUCUGCUCCUGGAUCAUCCAAAGAAGAAAAUCAGGGACACCCAGAAAUAUAAACCUUUCCGAAGGAUUGCCAAGAGUUGUCGCCCCUCUUUGAAAGUCCUCUGCAAAGAAGUCCUCAAUGUAAAGGUUCAGCAGGGGGAACACUCAUCUGUCCAAGAUGCACAGGCCACCAUGAGGCUGUAUACACUAGUGAGAAAACAGUGGGAAGCAGAGAUUAAAGCUGGUAAGAAAAGCAAAGAUUCAGGGGAGAAAAAAAAGAGGAAACCGAGAUAAGAACGACACCAGGAUAACAAAACCAACAUGGAGGAGAACAACAUCCCCAGAAUCAGAGCAGCUGGAAUCAAUCUGGACUUGUUUUCAUAAAGAAGAGAAUCCAGUGGCCUUCUUGGCCAACUAUUGAGAAAACACGUGUCUGAGCCAAACAUUACUGAUGGUUGUGAAAGAAAAACAAAAAACUUUUUGUUGGCGACUCAGUUCAAUGGAAGUCAAAAUGUUCCAGAAGAGUUUUUGGGUUGAGACUGUUUAGCUUUAGGCCUGAUAUGUUUCUCAGCUAUCUCUCCUUUAACUCCAGUAGAUUGAAAUGGUCUCACAUUAAGUCUGCGUUACAGAUUAUUUUCAAAGAUUUCCCUUUAAAUGGUGUCUAAAAUGUCCAAGGGUUCUUUGAAACUUCAUUUCUUACAGCAACCCCAUCAUUAUUAAAGUCUUUAGUAAAGAUGUGUCCAAUAAGAUGUCACUUCUUUUUUGAAAGAAAAAUCAUAUUUCAAUAUUUUUUCUUGUUUAAAUAUUUUUCCAGCAUGUUGUUCCUCACAGUGAGAUUCAUAUUUCUAAAUAUUCCUUAUCUUUCUCUUUAGAUCUUUCCACAAUCAUGUUGGUUGUGUAUAUUUUCCCUUUUAAGACUGUUUUUUAAAAGAAAUCAGAUGUCUAUCAAGGACUUCU
Long non-coding RNA from Cyprinodon variegatus (sheepshead minnow), 1048 nucleotides. RefSeq lists it as uncharacterized. The transcript has 3 exons. Lineage: Eukaryota; Metazoa; Chordata; Actinopteri; Cyprinodontiformes; Cyprinodontidae. The record is from RefSeq and is a predicted model, not a curated record.